GACGAAGGAUGCAAGCGUUAUCCGGAUUCAUUGGGUUUAAAGGGAGCGUAGGUGGACUUAUAAGUCAGUGGUGAAAUCUUCGAGCUUAACUCGGAAACUGCCAUUGAUACUGUAGGUCUAGAGUACAGUUGCCGUUGGCGGAAUAUGACAUGUAGUGGUGAAAUACUUAGAUAUGUCAUAGAACACCGAUUGCGAAGGCAGCUAACGAAGCUGUAACUGACACUGAGGCUCGAAAGUGCGGGGAUCAAACAGG
Molecule: ribosomal RNA, 253 nt
Filed under: uncultured bacterium
Lineage: Bacteria
Description: partial 16S ribosomal RNA
Rfam family: Bacterial small subunit ribosomal RNA
Source: RNAcentral